UUUUUGGAAUACUAUCUGUUUAGCUACAACUUACAAUUGGUAUGAGAUACAAUCCAUCACCUGGUAAAUAGCAACAGAAACCUUACAGUUUGAUGCUUUUAUAAUAUAAUGGUGCUAUUAACCGUACAGGAAGAGAGAUACGAAACGAACACACCAUUUAUUAAUAGCAAUGAUCCUGUUUCACAAAAGGAAAAUCCGGGAACAUCUAACUACAUAGCAUACCGACACCCUCUUCAAUUCUCAGCUGCUCUGAAGAUCGACAGUAACGAGAGGAAAAGGUUGAUGAUGUCCAAAUAUAAGGCAACGGAUGCCCAUAUGUACUCGUCGUAUGAGUAUCUUUUUAUGAGAUUGUCUGUGUCAUAGACAAUGUAUCCACAGAAAAUGAUGGACGCUAGACACCCAUAAACCAUCAUAGAAGUCCGACCCAAUGGAAAGAAGGCCUGAAUCAGACCAAAUAUCAGGAGGACAAUCAGAGCACCAAAUAGAAAUGGACCAAGGAAGCUGAAAUCAUGGCCUCUUUUCGCAGCCCAAAAUGUGUACAGAGUGAGACUCACCACAACCACAGCAGUCAGAACUGCAGCCUCAAGAAUAACUUUCCCGCUUGUAUAAGCGCAAGUCAACCCAAUUGCGAACGCAAAAGAUAUCGUGAAAAUACCCAAAAGAAAGAAAUUGACAGGGUGCUUCUGAUAGUAAUAAGAGAGUGGUAUCAUCGUUAUAAUCGGCGUAAGAAUGAGAAUGAUGUAUAUGGCCAGGCCUGCCCCUGUAGUGUUAAAGAAGGUAGAAAUUGGUCGAACAUAAACAACAGUAGCGGCGACGGCAAUGGUGGCGAGCAGUUGGAUAGUAAUGAUAGAGUAAAUCUUCCGAAUGAAGGCCCAUCGGAGCUGUGGGCUCUCCAGCAUCGUCGGAUACAGCGGCGUUGUUCCGCCCUCGACAUCGUACUUCCGCUGAUGAUUCCACAUCCUUCAAACGCAAAUUACAAGAAGAAGAAAAACAAAGAAACAAAGCUUCAAUCAAAAGUGUUUGGCGGUGAAGAAAAUGGUCCAAAAAGUUUUAACAGGACGAAUGGAUUCCCAAAUUCGAGUUUCGGCUGGAUUAGUGCUGAGCUUAUAAAAUGGAGAGAUUCCGGUGGACGGAGACUUCUCGAUUCAUCGCGUCUAAGCCAGAAAGCCCUUUUGCUUA
This 1179-nucleotide unclassified non-coding RNA is filed under the name Hevea brasiliensis (rubber tree). Lineage: Eukaryota; Viridiplantae; Streptophyta; Magnoliopsida; Malpighiales; Euphorbiaceae. The record is from RNAcentral.